RNAcentral lists this unclassified non-coding RNA (331 nucleotides) under soil metagenome. RNAcentral describes it as "partial contains 5.8S ribosomal RNA, internal transcribed spacer 2, and large subunit ribosomal RNA". The stretch from base 2 to 119 matches the Rfam family "5.8S ribosomal RNA", at positions 37 to 154 of the family's 154-position model. The record is from RNAcentral.
GUGAAGAACGCAGCGAAAUGCGAUACGUAAUGUGAAUUGCAGAUUUCAGUGAAUCAUCGAAUCUUUGAACGCACAUUGCGCCCGCUAGUAUUCUGGCGGGCAUGCCUGUUCGAGCGUCAUUUCAACCAUCAAGCCCUAGGCUUGCGUUGGAGCCCUGCGGCUGCCGCAGGCUCCCAAAUCCAGUGGCGGGCUCGUCGUCGUACCGAGUGCAGUAAACAUCCUCGCUCAGGGAACGUGACGGGUUCUUGCCGUGAAACCCCCCACAUAUCAAGGUUGACCUCGGAUCAGGUAGGAAUACCCGCUGAACUUAAGAAUAUCAAUAAGCGGAGGA